CCCAGACUCCUACGGGAGGCAGCAGUGGGGAAUAUUGCACAAUGGGGGAAACCCUGAUGCAGCGACGCCGCGUGAGUGAAGAAGUAUUUCGGUAUGUAAAGCUCUAUCAGCAGGGAAGAAAAUGACGGUACCUGACUAAGAAGCCCCGGCUAACUACGUGCCAGCAGCCGCGGUAAUACGUAGGGGGCAAGCGUUAUCCGGAUUUACUGGGUGUAAAGGGAGCGUAGGUGGCAUGGUAAGCCAGAAGUGAAAACCCGGGGCUCAACCCCGCGGAUUGCUUUUGGAACUAUCAGGCUGGAGUGCUGGAGGGGUAAGCGGAAUUCCUAGCGUAGCGGUGAAAUGCGUAGAUAUUAGGAGGAACACCGGUGGCGAAGGCGGCUUACUGGACAGAAACUGACACUGAGGCUCGAAAGCGUGGGGAGCAAACAGGAUUAGAUACCCUCGUA
RNAcentral lists this ribosomal RNA (446 nucleotides) under uncultured bacterium. Its description in RNAcentral is "bacterial SSU rRNA". It matches the Rfam family "Bacterial small subunit ribosomal RNA", at positions 330 to 792 of the family's 1533-position model. The record is from RNAcentral.